ACCAGCUGUGGUGUGGCUAUGGCUUUGCAGAGCACUCUGGAGGCGGUGUGGUUGGGGCUUCUCCUCAGCUCCCUCUGGAAGGUUGCAGAGAAUAAGGACCAAGUAUUUCAGCCUUCCUCCGUGGUGUCUUCAGAGGGAGCUGUGGCGGAAAUCUCCUGCAAUCACUCCAUAUCAACUGCUUAUAACUUCUUCUGGUACCUUCACUUCCCUGGACUUGCACCAAGACUCCUUGUACAGGGCUCGAGGCCUUCUCAGCAGGGGUGCUACCACAUGACAUAUGAGCGAUUCUCCUCUUCACUGCUCAUCCUCCAGGUGCAGGUGGCAGAUGCUGCCACUUACUACUGUGCUCUGCAGGACACAGAGGCACAGAACCUAUGA
Rhinolophus ferrumequinum (greater horseshoe bat) is the source of this 378-nucleotide non-coding RNA. The record is from the annotation of a RefSeq genome assembly. Lineage: Eukaryota; Metazoa; Chordata; Mammalia; Chiroptera; Rhinolophidae.